RNAcentral lists this ribosomal RNA (460 nucleotides) under uncultured bacterium. RNAcentral describes it as "partial 16S ribosomal RNA". It matches the Rfam family "Bacterial small subunit ribosomal RNA", at positions 338 to 795 of the family's 1533-position model. The record is from RNAcentral.
CCUACGGGAGGCAGCAGUGAGGAAUAUUGGUCAAUGGGCGGAAGCCUGAACCAGCCAAGUCGCGUGAGGGAAUAAGGCCCUACGGGUCGUAAACCUCUUUUGCCGGGGAGCAAGGGCGGGGACGUGUCCCGUCCCGGAGAGUACCCGGAGAAAAAGCAUCGGCUAACUCCGUGCCAGCAGCCGCGGUAAUACGGAGGAUGCGAGCGUUCUCCGGAUUUAUUGGGUUUAAAGGGUGCGUAGGCGGGCUUUUAAGUCAGCGGUAAAAAUUCGGGGCUCAACCCCGUCCGGCCGUUGAAACUGGGGGCCUUGAGUGGGCGAGAAGAAGGCGGAAUGCGUGGUGUAGCGGUGAAAUGCAUAGAUAUCACGCAGAACCCCGAUUGCGAAGGCAGCCUUCCGGCGCCCUACUGACGCUGAGGCACGAAAGUGCGGGGAUCGAACAGGAUUAGAUACCCCUGUAGUC